This 253-nucleotide ribosomal RNA is filed under the name uncultured prokaryote. Its description in RNAcentral is "partial 16S ribosomal RNA". It matches the Rfam family "Bacterial small subunit ribosomal RNA", at positions 524 to 776 of the family's 1533-position model. The record is from RNAcentral.
UACAGAGGUCUCGAGCGUUGUUCGGAUUCAUUGGGCGUAAAGGGUGCGUAGGCUGCGGGGUAAGUCUGAUGUGAAAUCCCGGGGCUCAACCCCGGAACUGCAUUGGAUACUGCCUUGCUAGAGCACUGGAGAGGAGACUGGAAUUUACGGUGUAGCAGUGAAAUGCGUAGAGAUCGUAAGGAAGACCAGUGGCGAAGGCGGUUACCUGGGCUUGUUCUGACGCUGAGGCACAAAAGCUGGGGGAGCAAACGGG